Lycium barbarum (goji berry) is the source of this 2888-nucleotide long non-coding RNA. RefSeq lists it as uncharacterized. The record is from RefSeq and is a predicted model, not a curated record. The transcript has 5 exons. NCBI's taxonomy places the organism in Eukaryota, Viridiplantae, Streptophyta, Magnoliopsida, Solanales, Solanaceae.
UUUUCCCUCAAUUUUUCACCCAAAACCGUUCCCCCUCUCUCGAAACCCUCACUAUGAGCGCAAACUCAAAACCUAGCCACCCCCUCGCCCUCGCUUCUCUGUCUCUCUAUUUAUGUGUGAUGGAGAAACUUAAUUUUCUCCGCUUCCAUCUGCUGCAUCAACUCUGUCCUAAUGAAUCAGCCAUUAAAAUUGUUAGGAUUGAGUCAAUUGACUUUCUUGCCUCGAUGGAAUGAGUGAACUUGCAAGGAUCAUGCUCAAGAAGGAGUAGCUGGCAAUUGUUGUUGCGUCACUAGCCCAUAGUCGCCAUGUUGGUUCAAAACGAGUUUGUUAGCCGCUUGAAAAUGUGUGGAGAUUAUCAUAUUUAUUAUCUAUCGAUGAUUGCUUCUCCAUUGAGCUUCAAAUAUGAUUCAGUUAAAGAGGCAUAGCUGCAUGUAGCCUUAUCAAUCAAAUAUGCACCAGGAAGUUGAUGGAGUUCUUAUAUAUGAUAGACUGCAUAUAAAGGACAUCACUUUUGCCUUCUCUACUAGCAGGAGCUACCAAUAUGACGAGUAACAGUGUUUCUGGAUCUCUUCCUUAAAGUUGACUUGGAUCUUUUUUUCUUCUUUUACAAGUGCGAAUAAUGUUUGGUUACUUUACAGUGGAGGGUUUAAACUUGAAACUGAAUCUUGCAAGUUUAAUUUUUUUCACGCCAUUGAGAGCGAUAAAAGGACACCUCUGGAACCAAACCACGCAGCAGUGGAUAGGACACAAGAAGCCUGUCAACCAACUAGAACUGCUUCGUGAACUUAAACUAAAGUGAGAUGUUUAUAUCCUUUUUCCAAAUAGUCUGAUUUGUCUUAGUUCCCUGUAUUGCCUUAGAAGAAUGGCUUAAAAUGAAAUAGCAACAACAGGUCUUUUUCUUCUUACUGAAUAAAUGAGACAUUAUAUUGUUGUUGAUCUUCCAUUCCCUUUGAUAUAGAGGCAUAAAAUAUACCUAAUAGAAAAUAUAUAUGGAGGCAUAACAUACAGGUGAUUGGCAUGCAGGUAAAGGUUGGAAUCUAAAAAAUUCUUUGGAGAAGGUGUAAGUUUUGGGUGGCGGUGAUUUAAUGGUCUUAAAGUACUGAAAUUUCUGAUCUUCAACAUUUGGUGUUCUAAAUUGUUGGCAUUACAACAUCUAGAGCAGUUUUUGUUUAUAAUUUGCUCAACUUAAUCUCUUUUCUUAUGGAAUAGAUCUUAUCAUAUAAGUUGCCGAACGAGGAAAGAUUCAAAGAUUUAGCAAAUUAUUGAAUGAUAGAGUAAAUAAUGGUUCACAUUUUUCUGUGGCCCAUAACUAGCCAUUAACUUUAUCAUUUUUGAAGGCAUAAAACGACUCCGAAUUACUGAAGUGUAGAGUAUGCUGCUAUAUGUUCUCUUCUUUUUUAUAUUAAACUGCCCCUUGUUAGUAAGGGUGUUAUAUAUCUUGAAAAUAAGUACAAAAGGGGAGCUUGGUCUUACCCCUCAGAAUAUAACACAAAGAUAAAAUAAUUUAUGCUUUGCAAAAGGAGAGUUAGGAGAUUAAGCUAGAUCUUUGCAACGGGCCAGCAACUUGUGCAUAUAGAAUUGACUUCAACUUCAAAGAACUCCUUGUACAAUUAAUCUUCUAAAUUAGUGAUAUUUGGUCAUUUAGCUUUAGCAAGUAACGAGAAUCUAAGAUAAGUUUGGUGGUGACAUGUUUUUUAUGGUUAUUCUUUAAUUAGUUACUUCUUAGUUUCUCUUUUCUACUUUAAGUAACUCUUGUGAUUAAAUGUCAUCUAUAAGAGAGCAUCUACAGGUUAAAAAUUGUGUGUUGUUUCAUCUUAUUUAUUGAGUUAACUGCUUGAGCGUGCUUCGAAAAUUAAAUUUACUUUCUGGAUACAAAUGUAAUCCAUCCACUGUCAUGUAUCUAACCCAUCCAUUGGUAAUUUUUUCAGAAUUGGAGAACUGCAAAAUGAUGUCUAGUGUCAUUCAAUUAUACCAAGUUCUACAAUAAUAUGCCUUCUAUACAAAAGUUGAUUCUUUUAACAUACUCAUUAGCAGUGGUAACUCAGUUUCUGAAUUCUAAUAGCAGAAGUAUUUGGUUUCUGAUCUUCUGUGUAAGGAGUUCCUCCAAUAGUUUUUUGGAAAUAUUGAAAAUAACUGUUAGAAUAUGUUUCAUUGUUUCAUAUUCUUCCCUUUUACUUUUGAUCCAAGGCUUCAGAAUCUGUGAUGAGAAACCCAUCCAUUGUAACUAUUUUAAGUUGAUGUACUAACUAAAAUUUUAUGAUUUCUUGCUAUGUGAAGAUAAUGAGUAUGGAUAAGGUAGAAGGGUCAUGAUUGUUCCAUUCAUGAAAUAAAAAACAAAUGUCAUGAUAUCUUUGUUACAAGACCUACCUGAAAAGUGGUUUAGGAGAUUUUCUCAUUCGAUGUUCUAGUUUUAUGGAAUAAAGUAUAUGUAUGAGGUUUUAUGCUUGGAACUAAAAUCAGGAAAUCAAUCUGGAUUCUUUUUAAUCAAGGAAAAUCAAUAUUGAAUUAGAAUUUCGAUACUCUAGAGCUUGAGCUUUAUGAGAUAGAGAAUCAUUUUCUCCUUGCUUGGACAUUCUCUUGCCUUGCUAUGAUGAGUUCUGUUAUUACACUGAGAUGACCUUUUUUCAAUUACAGUCUACAAGCUGGAGUCUGAAGAACCCCCCACCACCCUUGAAGAAAGUGCAGAACAAUGGAAGCAAUUGGAGAAGUUAAAGAAUAACUUGAAGCACAGGAGGGACCUACUUAUAUUUUGUUUCAAUCUGUUUAGACAUGUCACAUGUGUCGAAGCUACAAUUUGAAUCUAUUGUUUGGAGUUGAGCAAAUAUAAUUUCAUGUAAUCUGAAUGUGUAUAAUUGUUUUUAGUAAUGUGAUGACUUAAUUCCUUUCAA